GAUGAACGCUGGCGGCGUGCCUAAUACAUGCAAGUCGAGCGAACAGACGAGGAGCUUGCUCCUCUGUCGUUAGCGGCGGACGGGUGAGUAACACGUGGAUAACCUACCUAUAAGACUGGGAUAACUUCGGGAAACCGGAGCUAAUACCGGAUAAUAUAUUGAACCGCAUGGUUCAAUAGUGAAAGACGGUUUUGCUGUCACUUAUAGAUGGAUCCGCGCCGCAUUAGCUAGUUGGUAAGGUAGCGGCUUACCAAGGCAACGAUGCGUAGCCGACCUGAGAGGGUGAUCGGCCACACUGGAACUGAGACACGGUCCAGACUCCUACGGGAGGCAGCAGUAGGGAAUCUUCCGCAAUGGGCGAAAGCCUGACGGAGCAACGCCGCGUGAGUGAUGAAGGUCUUCGGAUCGUAAAACUCUGUUAUUAGGGAAGAACAAAUGUGUAAGUAACUAUGCACGUCUUGACGGUACCUAAUCAGAAAGCCACGGCUAACUACGUG
RNAcentral lists this ribosomal RNA (497 nucleotides) under uncultured bacterium. RNAcentral's name for it is "partial 16S ribosomal RNA". It matches the Rfam family "Bacterial small subunit ribosomal RNA", at positions 28 to 507 of the family's 1533-position model. The record is from RNAcentral.